Molecule: long non-coding RNA, 4538 nt
Filed under: Malus domestica (apple)
Lineage: Eukaryota; Viridiplantae; Streptophyta; Magnoliopsida; Rosales; Rosaceae
Description: long non-coding RNA (MDOM_LNC005683)
Source: RNAcentral
UAUUUGCAAACGCUAUCCAACACUUGACAAAUAAAAGCCGAAAGCUUUAGUUUCUGGACUUGGUACUACAAAACCAUAGAUUGUCUUUAAUGGCUUGUAAAUGUACCUAAGCAGUCUCAUCCUCAUAAUCUUCUUAUUGAUAACGUAUCAUUAGAAGAAUAUGUUAGAUAAGUCUAUCAUAAGGAGGACAACACUUUUAAUGUCAUAAUUCUUCACUUACAAAUCGUUGUAUGAAGAAAUAAGAGUUGCUUUGAACAACCCUUAGUCAAUGCAAACACUUAGUGCUUGUUUCUUUGUUACAUAAACAAGGAACUUGAGAAGUAAGCACAAGGGCAUGGACACCUUAUGUGCCAUGAUUCUUCACUUACAAAUUGUUGUAUGAAGAAAUGAGAGUUGCCUUGUACAACUCUUGAAAGUUUGUAAUUAUGUUUAGAACAUAAUGGUUGGUUGACAAAAAUAGUCCAUCAACAUGGACUUAUGAUGAUUUUGAAUCAUUGAGUGUUGAAGUGUUAAACCACUUAACAAGACGGAAACUAGGCAAGGACUUCACCUUUAUGUCCCUAUCCUAAUGGUUCACUAAGUUUAUUGUAAACUAUGUAGUGAACAAUAACUGCACUCUCUCCAAAUUGUUUGAUGUGUAUAACACAAUUGAAAUAAGUUUCAAGAGAGAUAGUGGGAGUUUAGGGACCAUGACUAUUGUAGUCAAAAGAGAAGUUAAAUGAAGAAGAUAAUAUUAACUCCAAGGGAACAAACUUUCUUUAUGAAAGGAUGGACAUUGGAAGGGGUAUUUGCAAGAAAUGUCUUGCAAGUGUCAAGAACACACCUUUCGAAGGUGUUGUAAAUUGUUCUUGAAUAGUUCAAAACAGUUGGUUCUUCUACUUGAAUGCUUGAUUCCGUAUUAGUAACUAUGUUUUACAAUCGUUGUAAAAGUGUGACUAAUAAGAAGUAGAAGAUAUAUGAGAGAAGAAAAGGUGCUUCACAUUCGGAACGUGAAUAAAAUAUAGAUCUCUGCGAAGGCAGAUAGUACUUACUUCCUCAUAUGAACUACCAAAGAAAUUGGAAAAACCAAAGAUUGUCUUUACAUUCCAAUUUUAAGGAACUUAAUUCCGUCACUAUAGUAGAGAUGGAUGAAUGUUUUGUUUGACAAAACAUUGUUCUUUAUUAAUCAAUAAUUGGAUUAUAGUAAUCUAAUUGAUUGUCUCUAUAGUAGAGAUGAUAUGGUAGUGUUAACUGUUCAGAACAUAAUGAUGCUUAAAACCCAAAAGGUUGCAAGGUAGUGACUAAUCCCAACUAAGUUGUGAUACCUCUAAAAACAUAAAUUACGAGUUGGUCAUAGAUGGAUGCUUUGGAUCGUUAGAUCCGGAUCCAAUACCUUCUUGUUAAAAUUGUAUAGAGGCGAAAUGUUCGAAUCUUUAUUCUUUUGGAAAGAAGAAAGAAUCACAAAGUUGUUGAGGUUAAUUCACUUAGAUGUUAGUGGCACUUGCCCACAACAUAAUACUACUCAUGUUGGAUGACAUUCACCGAAGAUCACUCUCGGUUGGACUAUAGUUUAUUAUGAAUAAACACAAGUCCGAAUACUUUGCAAAAUGUUUCAAAGAAUUCAAGAAAUGUAAGUUGAUGAGUAAGACGUCUAAAGUAUUUACUCCUUAGAUUUGAUCCAAGAAAAAGUAACACUUUAGAUGAGUUUCCUUGAAAGAUAUCAAGGAAAAUAGCAUCAUAAGAUAAUGAAUUUCUCCAUUAGGAGAUGAACGAACUCGAAUAAGAUUUAGUUCAUUAGAUGUUAUCUAUAACCCAUAUAUAGGAUAUAUACUUCUAAGACAAUAUGAUUGUCAAUUAGAAGAUCUUCCAAAAUUUUCAUGACUCCAUAAGAUGUGGUUGGAAAGAAAGACAAAUCUUAAGCAUGUUAAGAUUUGAGGUUGUGUGCUAAUAAGCAAUAUUUGUUUGAUAACAAUCUUGUGGGAUAUCCUUAAAUUAACUUUUGGAUAUCACUUCUAUAAACCAACUAACAAAUGUUGUUUUGUUGGGUAGUUCAUUGUAAUCCUACAAUGUGAUUUGCCUAAGAGCAAAUGAACGAGAGAUAGAACUCAAAGAAUAGGUUCUUUAAGAGACAAGAAAGUAAUCAACAAAUAUAACAAUCUAGUUCCUAUACCAAAAGCUCCAAGGUAGUCGAGAAGGAUUUAUAAACCGUCUCAGUUGAAUGGUUUGAACUUUAUGACUAUGUCAUAGAGUUGUACCUCUUAAUUCGAAAGAAAUAAAAAUGAAAAUCCUUAUGACUACAUUGAGUGUAUAUAUGAUAUAUACUCAAGGAAAUGGUAAAGUACCAUUUGACCCGAAAUAAUGAAACCUUCAUAAGCUAAUUGGUAGAUUAAGGUGACUACAAUCAAAGAGAAUGGUUGACUUUGAAGAAACCAUCUUUGAGAUAGUCUUGGUUUCAAUUAAUUCGAAGAUUGCUAGCUACAACUAAAUGGUGAUUCAAUGUUUGGACAUUAUAUGGGUUUCAGAAACCAUUAUUAAGAUAGUCUUGAUAAUAUAUGUCUAAAACAAUAAAUCACAAGACAUGUAAGUUGUAGAGAUCCAUCCAUCAUGAAUCUUAACAAGCUAGUAGGAGCUAUAAGCAUCUUAUGAGAAAAGGAUCAAAUCGUUUGAUUUCUCAUAAAGAUGUAAAUGAAUCUUUUGUUUACUAGGUUUACAAAAGAUUAGUGGGAGUUAAUCAUGUUCCUAAAAUUUAAAUAUAUAUGAUUUAUUAAUUUUGGAAAUGAAAAGAAUACUUCUUCGUUAAAGUUAUGACUUUAAACAUUCUAUAACGAUAGAAUGUAUAUGGGAGUUAAUCAUGUUCCUAAAAUUUAAAUAUAUAUGAUAUAUUAAUUUUGGAAAUGAAAAGAAUACUUCUUCGUUAAAAUUAUGACUUUAAACAUUCUAUAACGAUAGAAUGUAUAUGGGAGGCAUAGUCUAUAUACAUGGGAUGGAAAUCUAUAUUGAUAGAUUUUAGGAUAUAAUUGGAUUAUAUCAAGCCCUAAAUAUAGACAAAAGAUGAUAAAAGUUUCUCAUAUGAUGAUGAACUUCAAUCAAAAGGAUAACUCUAGUGAGACUAAGAAGUUGCUCUUCUCAAAGAGAACGUACUCUUUGACUCCCAAAGAAAUAAAUGCGUAAAUAGAAUCCUUUAUGCAUAAGCAGAAAAGUGAUUUAUGUAUUUCAUAUUGUAUGAAAAACAUUGAUAUGAGUUGUAACUAGAAAGGUACAAGACGAUAUCAGUACAAGCCCAGGAUCAGAACCAUGGCAACUGUCAAGUGAGUCCUUAAGUAUUUAAGAAAUACUAAAGGAUAAAUUCUUCAAAGAUCGAGGAAGAAUUAGAGUAACGUAAUGGAAGCGUAAAUGUAUUAGAUUAUGAAUCUAAUCCAUCAUUGGAUGUUUCUUCAUUAUGAAUGAAGAGAUAAACAGAUAUCUCUUUAUUAUGACUAAAAAGAUAUUUGGCUGGAAACAUUAAAGUAAUGACUUUAGUGUGUUCCAUUAUGAAUGCAAAAUAUAUUGCCAUAGAGAAGUUUACAACAAUGUUGUUUGGAUGGGAAAGUUCAUUUAUGAACUCUCUAUUCGGUUCCAACCAGAAAGUGUUUGACACUAAUGGGGCGAUAGCUUAAGCCAGGGAAUCAAGGUCUCAUCACGAUCCGAACUCAAAUGAGAGACUGAACCACAUGAUUAAGAAUCAUGUAUAAUGGUGACGUCGUUAUUCUCAAGGUUGCUUCUAUGGAUAACGUAUAGAUAUCCAUUGUCUAGGCCUACUACUCAGCCAUUUAUGAAAUGACUACAGAAGAGGUAUCAUCACUGAUGACCAAGCUGAUUGGCUUUAGUGCAAGUGGGAGAUUGUUGGAAAUGUGCCCUAAAACCAAUCAUAUGAUGAUACUUUACGGACAUUUCACAAGUUAAACUAACGUAGUUUAAAUAUAAAGGGAAAAUAUUAUUGUUUGAGCCGUCUCAUAUAAAUGUUAUAUGCUUAAACGAUAAGUCCAAGGAAAAUGUGAUUGGGAGAAUGCAAUCUAAAGAAGUUAGUUCAUGAGACCAUUCUUUCGUAGACACAUCCUAAACGUUCCUGAUCAUAGGAUUGCCAAUUGGGCAUUGUCAGUCCGUUAAGAUCAUUACGUGUUGUGUCUUCUCUCAGGGAGAAUGACUAGUCUCGAGUCAUUGGUGUGUGUGACAUCAAGACAAGUACGUAGGUGCUCAAUAGAGAAUGAGUUCACUGAACACAAUCAACGAAGAGUUCUCAUAUUUAUGUCACAUGAGAACUCAUGGUUAGGAUAAUGCAAAGUAGUCAUUUGACCUGAGGCAUCAUAGUUGUCUUGUGGUUAAGUCCUUGAUCUUUGAUUAUGUCAAAGUCACUCCAUCAGGAGGGUGCCCAUGGCAUAGUUGGGGUUAAGCCACUUAGCUAUGGAGGCAAGUGAAUGCGCAACAAGGGAUCUCUAACCUUCAAAUGGUUUGGGGGAGAAUACUCUAUGAUAUGAUUGAAAAUCUCUGAUCAGAGUAUGAAUGAGAUUUAGGAAGGCGUU